CUUUACUGUAACCUGGAAUUGGGUUCGGGCUUUGCUUGCGCAGGAUAGGUGGGAGGCUAAGAGAAUACCCUUGUGGGGGGGUAUUGGAGCCACUGGUGAGAUACCACUCUAGUGAGGCUAGAAUUCUAACUGAAAGCCGUUAUCCGGCUUUGGGACAGUUUCAGGCGGGCAGUUUGACUGGGGCGGUCGCCUCCUAAAUGGUAACGGAGGCGCGCAAAGGUUCUCUCAGGCUGGUUGGAAAUCAGCCGUAGAGUGUAAAGGCAUAAGAGAGCUUGACUGUGAGACCCACAAGUCGAACAGGGACGAAAGUCGGCUUUAGUGAUCCGACGGCGCUGCGUGGAAAGGCCGUCGCUAAACGGAUAAAAGUUA
Molecule: ribosomal RNA, 369 nt
Filed under: uncultured organism
Description: bacterial LSU rRNA
Rfam family: Bacterial large subunit ribosomal RNA
Source: RNAcentral